Molecule: long non-coding RNA, 621 nt
Organism: Gallus gallus (chicken)
Lineage: Eukaryota; Metazoa; Chordata; Aves; Galliformes; Phasianidae
Source: Ensembl
CUCCCUCUUACUGACACGUGGACAACUCUGCUUGUUUCUGCAUUGCCUCUUAUUCGCUACAUAAGAACAGAAGGUCUGAGAUAACUGGAUAUUUCUGAAAGCAGGGAGAAGUAUUAUCCCUAAGAACAUAAAGUGUCUCCCUUUGCAAGGAUGCCGCAUGGCUGAAGAAGAAGAUGAGAGAAAUAUUAAAGAUGAUGCUGUAGCUUUCAGUUGGCUAAAGGUAUCAAAAAGGACACCAAAUACUUCCUUAUCAGAAAUGAGGAUUGCUCUGACCCCUGGUUGAACUCAUCAGCUGAAAUGAAGUUGUUCAGUGAGCUGGAGAAGACAAAGCUGAGUUCCAAGAAAUUAAUCAACUCCAUCAGCCUCUGCGAUAGGCCUGGAAAUGGCACACAUCAGACUGACCCUGAGCAGCUCUGGAUUCCCUCCGUAAAUGAAAGUCAUCAUUCCUGGCAAGGAAGAUACUAAAUUAUAGGCUUUUAAAUUUAAUUUUCAGCUUACUUGUGUUUUCGAUUAGUGUGCCAUGUUUCAUAAAGAUAGUAGUACCUUUAAGUAGUAAAUGUCCUUCAUAUACCAGCUCAGUUCCUGUUGUAAUAAAAAGGUAAAUUUGAAGUAAAAACUGUU